CCGUGAUUGCCAUCAUAGUAUCAUCGAAACUCUUUUCGAUGGACUAAAAUGAUUCCAACUCACCUCAAUAAGGAUCGUUGAUUCGAAAAUGAUCUUAGUGAGUUCUCAUGAUUUAUCAGUGAUACCUAACAGUAUGUAGUGGCAACCUAGCAGAAUAAAAAAAAUAAAUUCUUAGGUACAGUUAUCAUGUAAUACAAUCCCUCUAUCGUGAGUUCUGACUUAACGGAGGUCAUGGAGAACUCAUCAAACCCCAUCGUCAGUCAUAUGCUAGAUUGACUCGACUCGAGUUCAUCUGUGAAUCCAGUGAAAACUCUUUUUCAAUAUUCACACUUACUCUGAUCAGAAAUUUUCUAAACUCAGACUUACGAAUCGUAUAGGACUUCUUCUUUUCUAUCAAGAUCGAUAGAUUCAAUCUAGAUGCAUCCUACUCGAGAUAGCGAACCUAAACUUAUAAUAGCCAACAUACAUAGCAAGAACUUGAAUGGCUAGGGAUCAAGAAAAUGUGCAGUCAAACUAAGUAGCCUCACUGCGAAUAGCUAAUACACCGUAGGUCAAAAGACCAGUCACACUACUGCAGCAUCGAGAAAACCACUGACGAAUGAGUAGAUAUCCAAGUGGUUUCUCAUGAUGGUCACGCUCAGUGCAAGUUGUUCUCUAACAACUACCUGCACUCUCAUCUUAGUAUCUCUAUAUCGC
This 696-nucleotide long non-coding RNA is filed under the name Elaeis guineensis (African oil palm). RNAcentral describes it as "long non-coding RNA (EGUI_LNC037068)". Lineage: Eukaryota; Viridiplantae; Streptophyta; Magnoliopsida; Arecales; Arecaceae. The record is from RNAcentral.